Molecule: long non-coding RNA, 416 nt
Organism: Contarinia nasturtii (swede midge)
Lineage: Eukaryota; Metazoa; Arthropoda; Insecta; Diptera; Cecidomyiidae
Exons: 2
Source: RefSeq, a predicted model, not a curated record
AUUGAUAAAAUUGAUCAUUAAACACUUCAGUAGCAGACAUUCAAACAUUUCUGAAAAUCGUCUCUCCAAAUUCGCAGUUAAACAUGUUGAAUCAAAACUUGUUCGCACUAUUUUUAGUCGGACUCAUUGUUUGUCAGUGCCUUUCCAAUGUAGAAGCUGGUGAAGAUAAAAACACUCAAAUAAAAAAGCAUAGUAUAACAAUCGGCCUAAAUCUACCACCAUUAAAGAAGCCUAAAUCUACCACCAUUAAAGAAGAAAUAAAAUAUAAAGAUGUUAAGGGUGAAAAGCCACCACCACGAAAUUCGGAGGAUCAAAUUAAAUAUCUUCCACCUCUAACAUAAAUCUGUCUACCCCAACCAAAUGACCAAUAAAUAAUGAAUAGAUUAUUCUAAUAUUUCCAAAUUUCACUUUCGAAA